GCCAGUGUGGUAGUGGUUUGAACAUUAGUCUAUGACUCUGGAGACCAGGAUUCAAAUCCCUGCUCAGUCA
Non-coding RNA from Phrynosoma platyrhinos (Desert horned lizard), 70 nucleotides. NCBI's taxonomy places the organism in Eukaryota, Metazoa, Chordata, Lepidosauria, Squamata, Phrynosomatidae. The record is from the annotation of a GenBank genome assembly.